CUACGGAUGCUCUAAUCACCGCAGUCUGCAAACAAGAACCCGUGGGAUCACCUUUCACGUUUUCCCAAAACCGAAGAGAGGAGGAGGCAGUGGGAACUCGCCCUAAGAAGGGACAUAUUCAGGUUCCAUGAGACGCAGCACUAUGUUCCCCACAUAUGUUUAUGUUUGCUCAGUCUAAUAAACCCAUAACAUGGUUGUGAAAGAAUACCAAA
Long non-coding RNA from Gymnodraco acuticeps, 212 nucleotides. RefSeq lists it as uncharacterized. The transcript is spliced from 2 exons. Lineage: Eukaryota; Metazoa; Chordata; Actinopteri; Perciformes; Bathydraconidae. The record is from RefSeq and is a predicted model, not a curated record.